This 497-nucleotide ribosomal RNA is filed under the name uncultured bacterium. Its description in RNAcentral is "partial 16S ribosomal RNA". It matches the Rfam family "Bacterial small subunit ribosomal RNA", at positions 28 to 507 of the family's 1533-position model. The record is from RNAcentral.
GACGAACGCUGGCGGCGUGCCUAAUACAUGCAAGUAGAACGCUGAAGCUUGGUGCUUGCACCGAGCGGAUGAGUUGCGAACGGGUGAGUAACGCGUAGGUAACCUGCCUGGUAGCGGGGGAUAACUAUUGGAAACGAUAGCUAAUACCGCAUAAUAGUAGAUGUUGCAUGACAUUUGCUUAAAAGGUGCAAUUGCAUCACUACCAGAUGGACCUGCGUUGUAUUAGCUAGUUGGUGAGGUAACGGCUCACCAAGGCAACGAUACAUAGCCGACCUGAGAGGGUGAUCGGCCACACUGGGACUGAGACACGGCCCAGACUCCUACGGGAGGCAGCAGUAGGGAAUCUUCGGCAAUGGACGGAAGUCUGACCGAGCAACGCCGCGUGAGUGAAGAAGGUUUUCGGAUCGUAAAGCUCUGUUGUAAGAGAAGAACGAGUGUGAGAGUGGAAAGUUCACACUGUGACGGUAUCUUACCAGAAAGGGACGGCUAACUACGUG